Phasianus colchicus (ring-necked pheasant) is the source of this 1453-nucleotide long non-coding RNA. RefSeq lists it as uncharacterized. NCBI's taxonomy places the organism in Eukaryota, Metazoa, Chordata, Aves, Galliformes, Phasianidae. The record is from RefSeq and is a predicted model, not a curated record.
AGGUUCUCUUUUGGAGAUCAUUCCUCUUGGAGUCUUCUCAGCAAGCCUAGGAUAAAAGUGCCCUGCAUUCAGCCCAGAACAGCUUUCUUGUAGGGUAAAGGUGCAACUCAAGGGGAACCAUGAAGUAAAGACACUGCAAUGAAGUACAGAUGCAGGUUGUGAUGACACCAUGGAAGUGCAGUGGCCCUUGUGUAUAAAAGUGGCCACGGAAACUGAGCUGUUAACCAUGCUAGCCUUAUGAGCUGUAAGGGUCAAAACAAACUUUUAAGCUCAAUUGCUUCAAUUGCCAUCACUAUAUUGAUCAGAUACUCACCAGCUACAGUGGGAGUGAGGACGCAUGUCUCACUAUGUUAAGCUAAUCUAGAGAACAGCGAGUGAUACUUUUCCACAGCAGCCAACAUCUUCCAUGACAAAUCUGUAUCAUCACUUUAUCCUGCCAUGUUUUCUCCCUGCCUGGUAAUAUAGUGUCACAGUAUGAUAGUGCAUGCAAAGAUAUGAUUUUUCCAAGUCAUGUUGAAUACUGUUAAAAAAUGUAGAGACUUUUCAUUUUUUUCCACAUGCAUCUUAACUUUACCAAACUAAGAACAGUUUGGGUUUGAUGGGAAGGGAAUAAAAUCAGAUAUAUUCUCCUUAGAAAAAUGAAAAUGUUUAGGUGUUGUGUAUUUACAGAAGGCAACAGAAGUGUACAAAUAAGACAUGAACUGAGGAUUCAAAACACAAAACAAUUUUUAAAAUUAGAAAAAGUUUGCUUUCUUCAUAGUAUUGUUAACUGCGGAAGUAUGACACUGCAUUACUCUGUAUUGUGGGUAUGGAGUAGGUACUUUUGACAUCCAUGUAUUCAAAUUUCUGUUCUGAAUUUUGACUAUUAAGUCAAAAUUUUGAUGUUUAAGCUCAACUGUGUAAUUUAUGUUUUUCAAUAGCUAAGGUGAUGUGACUUCAUGGUCCGUGGCCAGGACUUGUUGAUGUUAAUGGCCAAGCAAUUGUGAAAGUAAAUAUAUGCUUAUUUGAAUGCUUAUUUCUGCUCUGGAAAAAUUUAUUUUUAGCAAUGUGUUUUAGGCUUCUUCCUGCUUAAAUAUGCAGUUUUUGUCAGAUAAGCUUUUUCUUAUAUAUUUUAUUCAGUUUCUUGAUGUGGUAGCAUAUUUAAGAAUUUGAUUAGGAAUAGACUUGAUUCUUAAAUACAGAAGAGUUUGUGUUAUUACAAAGAGGAUGGUGAAAUUUCCUAUCAGCACAAGAUGGCCACUUUAUCUAUCUUUAUUCUAAUUUAGAACAACUGUAAAUGAUUGCACAGGAACAAGGCAUACAUAUCUGGCAUCUGGCCGGAUACAUUUUUUAAUCUGGUGAUAGGAUUGGUAACUAGUGAUAGAAUUAGAAUCUGAUGAGUAUAUUGCUGUUUUUAUUGUUAUUUGCUACAUUGUACAUGGCUAGAUAGUAACUAAGAACUUCAAGCCUCUUG